UACGUAGGGCGCAAGCGUUGUCCGGAAUUAUUGGGCGUAAAGAGCUCGUAGGCGGUUUGUCACGUCUGCUGUGAAAUCCCGAGGCUCAACCUCGGGCCUGCAGUGGGUACGGGCAGACUGGAGUGCGGUAGGGGAGAAUGGAAUUCCUGGUGUAGCGGUGAAAUGCGCAGAUAUCAGGAGGAACACCGGUGGCGAAGGCGGAUCUCUGGGCCAUUACUGACGCUGAGGAGCGAAAGCGUGGGGAGCGAACAGG
Molecule: ribosomal RNA, 253 nt
Filed under: uncultured bacterium
Lineage: Bacteria
Description: partial 16S ribosomal RNA
Rfam family: Bacterial small subunit ribosomal RNA
Source: RNAcentral